Molecule: small nucleolar RNA, 118 nt
Organism: Cucurbita pepo subsp. pepo (vegetable marrow)
Lineage: Eukaryota; Viridiplantae; Streptophyta; Magnoliopsida; Cucurbitales; Cucurbitaceae
Product: small nucleolar RNA Z107/R87
Source: RefSeq, a predicted model, not a curated record
GAUCGCAGUGACGACUCAGUAAAAUUCAAGCUCAACAGACCGGAUUGCAGAGUCCUUUCCUCUUCCUGAAAGAGUGAGAGGUCUUUGCGUGUCGAAUACCCCGCUGAACUGAGCGAUC